RNAcentral lists this long non-coding RNA (2131 nucleotides) under Marmota monax (woodchuck). Lineage: Eukaryota; Metazoa; Chordata; Mammalia; Rodentia; Sciuridae. The record is from RNAcentral.
GUGGGUCCCAAGCCUCCAUUUGCACAUCUGUGUGAUGGGGCCUUGUCCAGGGGUAGCUCCUCCUGGAGUGGGUGUAAGUGAGGCUUGAGGAAAGGGCAUUAUGUUUUUCAAAUGCCAGCUCCAUGUCUCCCUCACCCCUGCAGAGAGAGUGUCAAGGCUCAGGAGAAACUCAAGCCAUGUCACCCAACUGCUCAGACUGGUGCGGCUCCUGCUGGAGGAGCAAGCAGCGACUCUGGGCAUGCCCUUGGCACCCUCAGAGGGCACUCCUCCCAGCAUUAGGUCAUUCUUUGCUGAUGGGGGGACCAGCUGACUUUUGGGACUUUCAUUCAGUCUUUCAUCCUAUGACCUCAUCUUUGAGUGCAUGAGAAUAAAGAACCUGGUGGCCUUAGCCCAGGGUCUGUGGUAUGAGGAAGGGGUGGGAAAGCUCAGAAAGAUGUCAGACGGAGGAGGGCAAGACUGCCUCAUCGUUGCAUGAAUUUCUGGGUGGAGAAAAUCACAGGAUUCCUGGUCUCUGACCUCUCAGACAGUCCAGAGAGGAGGAUGAACCUGCAUUCUACCACACUGGCCACCAAGAUUUGGUAUUAAAGCCUGACCCACCUUCUCAAUGUCACACAGAAGCUCUCAAUCUUGGAAUCCACGGAAACGUUAAAAGCUAUGGACAGCCUGGUGCAGUGGCACACACCUAUAAUACAGCAACUUGGGAGGCUGAGGCAGGAGGAUCUCAAGUUUGAGGCCAGCCUCAGCAACUUAACAAGACCCUCAAAAAAAAAAAAAAAAAAAAAGGACUGGGAGUGUAGCUCAGUGGUGAAGCACCCUGGGUUCCCUUCCCAGUACCUAAAUAAAUUAUCUAAUAAAUAAAAGCUGUGGAUGCCCAGGUCCCAUUGCCAGGGAGUCCCAUCUAGGAUGAGGCCUAGGCAUUCAAAGAGUUCCCCAAGGUUUUCUGAUGUGGAGCUGAAGACAAGAACCCCUGAUCUUCUGGCCAUGGAUCCCUAAGCUAGUGGCCUUAGUUUUGCUCUAUCUGUAAAAUCAAAUUUAGAAACUUCACAGGAGUGUUUGGAGGCCUUGAUGCAAUAGCAUGUAUUGAGGUUAACUGUGGACCAUGUGCCCGGGAAGAGUUCUGCAGAAUUCUAAGGUAGGCAGCAUUCCUGAGCGAUAAAAGGGACUCUUGCUUAAUGCACCCUAGAGCUAGCCUGCCUGGGCGUGAAUUGUGUCUUCUUGGGAGUGUCACCCAAACUCUGUUUUCUGGGCUUCCUCACCUGUAACCUGGGUCAGAACAAGACUUAGCUGCCAGGGUUACUGUGGUUCGUUACUACAAGGAUGGAACCAAGCAGUGGUUUUAAGAUCAGGUGAGAUUUUUUUUAUCCCCAGCACCUCAGACAUUUGAUAAUGUCUGGAGACAUUUCGAGCUGUCAUGAUUAGUGAAGCAUGCUACUGGGGUCUGGCGGGUAGAGACUAGGGAUGCUGCUCAGUACGCUACAAUGUAAGAAUGCUACCGGAGAGCUGUUCAUCCCAGGUCAACAGUGUCGAGGUGGAGAAGCACUGAAAUCCAGUGAUGCUUGUAAAGCCCUCAGGAUGUGCUAGGUAUAUAGUAAAAAGCUCAGUAAAGAUGCUCCCUGCCCCCUGCAUCCUAAGUGGCUUGACCCAGGGUGUGGUUCUGUCUGUAAUAGACAUCAGAAUCAAGGCUGGCCAUCACAGGAUAUAGAAUCAACUACCAGAUACAGAGUGUUUAUCCUAUGCCCAGGCCUGUGUCAACAACUUCCUAUGCCUACUCUCCAAGUGACUUUACCCAGACUUGUGAGUUGUCCUGCUAUUAUUAAUUCCAUUUUAGAGGAGGAAACUGAGGGAGGUUCAUAUGUCAUCAAGCUAGUACUGUGCCUAAACUUUAAUCUAUCUGCUUUCAAGGCAUGGGAGAGUAUGUAUAGAAGGUUACCAUUUUGUUUUAGAAAAAGCUGGAGGAGGGAAGGUGUGUUUAUGUAUAAAAUAGUGCUAGGCAGGAGCCAAAACUGGCAAUAAUGGUCAUCUCUGGGGAGAACAGAGGAUCUGGGAACAGGGGUGAGAGCAACUUUUCACUGUUAUAUUUGGAACCCUGUGAAUGUAUUAUCUGCUGUAUUCAAAAUAUAAAUAAAAUUGU